GACGUAGGGCGCGAGCGUUGUCCGGAUUUAUUGGGCGUAAAGAGCUCGUAGGCGGCUUGUCGCGUCGAAUGUGAAAUCUCAGGGCUCAACUCUGACAUUGCAUUCGAUACGGGCAGGCUAGAGUUCGGUAGGGGAGACUGGAAUUCCUGGUGUAGCGGUGAAAUGCGCAGAUAUCAGGAGGAACACCGAUGGCGAAGGCAGGUCUCUGGGCCGAUACUGACGCUGAGGCGCGAAGGCCAGGGGAGCAAACGGG
RNAcentral lists this ribosomal RNA (253 nucleotides) under uncultured bacterium. RNAcentral describes it as "partial 16S ribosomal RNA". It matches the Rfam family "Bacterial small subunit ribosomal RNA", at positions 524 to 776 of the family's 1533-position model. The record is from RNAcentral.